CUUGUCACAUUUACUGAAAAUCAGCCUAUUGAUAUCACAGCUGAAAAUAUAAACUCGACAACCAAAGCCCAUUGCACAACGUGGACUGCGUAAGAGUUAAAAAUAGAUGCGACGUGCCUCCUACCUGCAUAAUAAAUAUUCCCUCAAAAUCCUGAGCAGUAUUGACAAACCACACAAGCACAGGGUCUGACUGCAUGAUCAGCUGUCUGUGUCUACGCUACACCCUGUUAACCACAAGCAGUGUUAGAGCUAAAUAUAUCUGCAAUGCAGAAACGAAAGCAAGACUUGGCAAUCAGCUGAUGACUCUUCUCCUUACCGAUCUUGUGUAAGUUGAAACCUUGAUCUGACAAAGGAUAUUGUAAGAACAGUUAUCUAAAACUGCAUGGAGCUCUCCAGCAGAAUCAGGCCAAGGGGCUUGAUUCUAACGCUGCAAAUGGUAGUAAAGCUUUGCAGUUGGCUAUUGACAGAGUAGAUCUGGUUCUGUAAAGUUGCUGAAACUACAGAAAAUUUUACUUCUUAGUUCACAACAUGUUUUUCUCAAAAAGUAAGGAUAAGGUCAAUGAUGGGACCCUGAAGCCUUCCCACCUCCUCAGGAGAACUGCAGGGAGCAAGAGCAGGGGCAUUUAACUUAGAGGUCAGAUGUAAACUUUCCACAGGUCAGACACAUACCCUCUAUACUGUAUUCUGUAUUCUCAGAAUAGCGCAGCCAACAGUGAGGGACCCUCUGUUCUAACAGCUGUCAGGUGUAUUUCAAUAAAUAUUGAAACCAUGGAGAGUUUUCUGAGCCUGAUGUGAAAUACCAGAGAAUCUGAGGUUUGCUGCAAGCAAUUUGUAACCUCCUUAGAGGCCCAGGAUUAUCAGCCUUACUCGCCUAUCAAGCUCUACCCACUUUUUGGGUCAAAGAGUCACCAAAAUAGGGUCAAAGGACUAGCUCAUUAUUUCCAGUCUUCUCAGCAGUCUGUUCUGAGUGUGGCCGUUGGCUUCUCUGUGACGCAAAUGGCAUUGUUUGUGGAACAAUAUAAUGUUUAUAAUUUGUAAAGCACUACGAUUUGUGCAUGCAGAAGAUAUUCAAUAAGCAUUAACAGCUGUUAUUUAGUGCAACAACCUUUUAUAAAAUUCCGAGGAUAUAGACUAUUUGUUGAACAAUAACAUCCCAGUUCCUACGGUGGCCUUACUUAAACUACAUAUGAAAACAUCCACAAUUUCUCCAGAGAUCAAUAAAUACAGAAAUUAAAAUUUAAUAUUUAAUCUGCUACUUCUGAAGGAGCAACACUUGCAGAGGGAUCGUGGUAAAAAGAAACCGUGAAGAGCAGCGGCUCUGUACCACACGAUUCACCGAGCGCGUCCACAAACCACGACAG
Long non-coding RNA from Oxyura jamaicensis (ruddy duck), 1361 nucleotides. RefSeq lists it as uncharacterized. NCBI's taxonomy places the organism in Eukaryota, Metazoa, Chordata, Aves, Anseriformes, Anatidae. The transcript has 3 exons. The record is from RefSeq and is a predicted model, not a curated record.